AACGAACGCUGGCGGCAGGCCUAACACAUGCAAGUCGAGCGAACCCUUCGGGGUUAGCGGCGGACGGGUUAGUAACGCGUGGGAAUAUACCCUUUGGUACGGAAUAGCCUCGGGAAACUGAGAGUAAUACCGUAUGUGCCCUUCGGGGGAAAGAUUUAUCGCCAAAGGAUUAGCCCGCGUUGGAUUAGGUAGUUGGUGGGGUAAUGGCCUACCAAGCCUACGAUCCAUAGCUGGUUUGAGAGGAUGAUCAGCAACACUGGGACUGAGACACGGCCCAGACUCCUACGGGAGGCAGCAGUGGGGAAUCUUAGACAAUGGGCGCAAGCCUGAUCUAGCCAUGCCGCGUGGACGAUGAAGGCCUUAGGGUUGUAAAGUCCUUUCAGAUGGGAAGAUAAUGACGGUACCAUCAGAAGAAGCCCCGGCUAACUCCGUG
RNAcentral lists this ribosomal RNA (433 nucleotides) under uncultured bacterium. Its description in RNAcentral is "bacterial SSU rRNA". It matches the Rfam family "Bacterial small subunit ribosomal RNA", at positions 29 to 507 of the family's 1533-position model. RNAcentral also lists the same sequence under 1 other name. The record is from RNAcentral.